Molecule: long non-coding RNA, 1167 nt
Organism: Motacilla alba alba
Lineage: Eukaryota; Metazoa; Chordata; Aves; Passeriformes; Motacillidae
Exons: 3
Source: RefSeq, a predicted model, not a curated record
CCUUAAAAGCAAUAGCCUGUUACAUAUUCAUACACCUCAUACAUGAUGCGUAAAUUCCAUUCAAACAAAGGAUUCUGUCUGGGCAGUGUCAACUUCUUCCUCUGAAUCCUAACGGCGUCUUCAGGGCUGAGCGAGGCAGGAAGAAGUUCGUUUCUUCUGAUAAGAGAGCAAGAAAUUCUUUUUCUCUGAAAGAUUUAGGUGUCCUGUGGCUGCUAUCUAGGUGCGAGUCCGCUCUUUAAAAAAAGUAUCUUACAUAGCAUAGUUUCUAUUUUAACACGAUGUUAUAACCUAAAACUGUGUUUAACACACUACUUAAGAAAAUUAAUACAGCGUAACUUUCUAACAUAACACAUAUAAUAUUCAUUUUAACAUUAGCAAAAAGCCAGUCAUAAAAUACGCAUUUUUCACGGUUGCUCAGCGGUGCCUCCGCAUUUGCCGGGCAGAGCCGCAGCGCCCAGCGCUCCCCACUUCCAGCCCGCCUGCGCCGCCCGCUCGCAUCCAGCGAGCCCCGGGAGCGGAAUCUGGGCUCGGGGGGAGCGGGACGGGACGGACGGAUCCGCACUGGGGGGGCCCCGAGCCCCCUGCCCAUCGCUGGGGGCUCCUGGGGGUUUCUCGCCCUGCCCCAGAGCCGGUGCUGCUGCGGCCGUGGGGCACCGGGGGUGCGAAAGGGGGGUCCGGGGCGGGAGCGGAGGAGGAGCGGGAGGAAGGGCAGGGAGAGGGGAAGGGGAGGAGCAGGAAGAGGAGCAGCCCGAGGAGCAGCAGCAGCGGUGGAAGGGGCAUUGCGGGGUUCCAGGGCGAGCCCGCAGAGCCCGCAGCUCGGCUGGCCCCGGCAGCACCGCAUUGCCCUGCAUCGCGCAGAAAGCAAGCAGCGCUGGGUGGCCGGGGAGUCACCGCUCCACUCACGGCACACCCCACUUACAAGCUCAUAAAAGUAUAUCUACUGCUUUGAAGCCUACAAAGCAUUUUCCAGUGUGCUUGGUUAGUCCAAAUGAGCAAAUAUCAAUAAGCUGGGAGCAGCAGUUCCAUAAUCUUUCCAGAAUCAGGAGAGCAUGAGCCCUGGGACCCCCAAUAGCCCCUCAGCCUGUCUAAGCAGGACCCGGGAGAGGGGGGAUGCCCAGGACCCACAGGCCCCCCAGCAGCUCUGAGAAGAGGGACCCUCACAACCCC